This 468-nucleotide ribosomal RNA is filed under the name uncultured bacterium. RNAcentral describes it as "partial 16S ribosomal RNA". It matches the Rfam family "Bacterial small subunit ribosomal RNA", at positions 28 to 507 of the family's 1533-position model. The record is from RNAcentral.
GACGAACGCUGGCGGCGUGCUUAACACAUGCAAGUCGAACGGAAAGGCCCUGCUUUUGUGGGGUGCUCGAGUGGCGAACGGGUGAGUAACACGUGAGUAACCUGCCCUUGACUUUGGGAUAACUUCAGGAAACUGGGGCUAAUACCGGAUAGGAGCUCCUGCUGCAUGGUGGGGGUUGGAAAGUUUCGGCGGUUGGGGAUGGACUCGCGGCUUAUCAGCUUGUUGGUGGGGUAGUGGCUUACCAAGGCUUUGACGGGUAGCCGGCCUGAGAGGGUGACCGGCCACAUUGGGACUGAGAUACGGCCCAGACUCCUACGGGAGGCAGCAGUGGAGAAUAUUGCACAAUGGGCGGAAGCCUGAUGCAGCAACGCCGCGUGCGGGAUGACGGCCUUCGGAUUGUAAACCGCUUUCGCCUGUGACGAAGCGUGAGUGACGGUAAUGGGUAAAGAAGCACCGGCUAACUACGUG